AUUGAACGCUGGCGGCAGGCCUAACACAUGCAAGUCGAACGAGUGGCGGACGGGUGAGUAAUGUCUGGGAAACUGCCUGAUGGAGGGGGCUAACUACUGGAAACGGUAGCUAAUACCGCAUACCAUCGGAUGUGCCCAGAUGGGAUUAGCUAGUAGGUGGGGUAAAGGCUCACCUAGGCGACGAUCCCUAGCAGGUCUGAGAGGAUGACCAGCCACACGUGAACUGAGACACGGUCCACACGCCGCUGGGAGGUAGCAGUGGUGAAUAUUUGCCAAUGGGAGGAAGCCUGAUGUAGCCAUGCCGCGUGUAGGAAGAAGGCCUUCGGGUUUUAAAGUACGUGCAUCGGGGAGGCGUUACCCGCAGAAGAAGCACCGGCUAACUCCGGGCCAGCAGCCGCGGUAAUAC
Molecule: ribosomal RNA, 406 nt
Filed under: uncultured bacterium
Lineage: Bacteria
Description: partial 16S ribosomal RNA
Rfam family: Bacterial small subunit ribosomal RNA
Source: RNAcentral